This 660-nucleotide ribosomal RNA is filed under the name Triticum aestivum (bread wheat). RNAcentral describes it as "partial small subunit ribosomal RNA". Lineage: Eukaryota; Viridiplantae; Streptophyta; Magnoliopsida; Poales; Poaceae. The record is from RNAcentral.
AUGUCAGGGAUCCCCCUAAAUCUAAAUAGAGACUUUCUUGCUAGAAUAACUGUGGGGGAAUCUAGAGAUAUAACACAAGCUACUAUAGGGAGUGUUCACUUUCCUGCUAUACGUUAUUUUUCUCUCUUCAUAGGUAGAUGCAUAAAUGCUAAGGAUGAAGCAUGUCACAUGUGUGUCCCUGAUCUCAUUAUUCGCAUGAGUGCUGUUUUAGGAGACCAAUCUUAUCAUAUGGGAGACAUUGUAGCUCGCAGUUUGCAUCAGAAUAGACAUAGCGGAGAUUUCUUUGGAGGAAUUUAUGCAACCCGUUUAGCUAAUUUUCUUGAGAUAGACAUUCGCGAGGGUGAUAUGGAAUUACCCCCUUCUUAUUUAGACUUUGAUUCUAUGGUUUCCCACCAGUUUGUUGAGAGGACUGAACCACCUCUCCAGUAUCGACUCAUCUUUAACAGACGUCGUGUAGUCCAUAUUGCUCUUCCUGCUCCUGCCUUCUUUGAUUCACAGGCAAAAAGAAGAUAUAUUAUUACCAGAGAGGAGGCAGAUGAGUACGAAAGGAGAGCCGAGGCUGCUCGACUCCACGCUACAGCUCAGGCGGCAAUAGCCGCUGCAUCACAGUAUGACCCCAGCUUCACCUACGGAUAUCCGCCAGGCUGUCCCUGGCAAUAG